CAGGCUGCAGUGUCAAUGCUGUGUGAAAACUCACCGGGUGCAGCAGCGGCUCCUCAGGGCUCCUGGAGCAGCUGGGGCUGUGGGGCCGUGCCCUGCUGCACCACCCCAUCCACGGCCUCUGAGCACAGAGCAGGGGAAUGAAGCAGUAAGGCCUCCCUUAUGCACAACGAGAGGGGCUUUUAAAUAAAAAGCAUUUUAUUGUCAUUCUAUCAUACCUCUGUGUAAAAAUAUGGGGGAUUUUUCUUCCUGAAGUGUUUACAAAGAACACGGGUUAAGGAAGGCGUAAUGAAUGUGGAAUUAUCAGCAGUGAGUUUCUAUGAGGUGAAGACACAAACCGGCUCCCGUUCCUCUCUGGAGGUACACAAGAAGGACGUGAUGCUCUGCCACGGCCACAACACACAGCACACUGCAGAGAAUGGCUGCUGACGGCCAGCCCCAACAUUCCUUGUUUUAUUUAUAUCAGACCUCAAAGUAUUUCUGUUAAAUAACCACCUUGUGAUAUAUAAAACCUUCGGAUUCAAAUGAGUAGUUAACUUCCUGCGUUGUCUUUAAGGCACAUUAUUUCGAUCCAUUUCAUUUUGGUCCAGAGAAGCAAGUGCACUUCAGCCAGCAGCUAGCCAGGGAUCUGACACCUGGCUUUGUUGUAUCUCUCCGUGUGUCCAUAGACCUCAACCACAUGGACUGAAUUCACUGUGUGCUGAGCACUGCUGUGUCCCGGCCCCGUGUGCCUCCCAGGCGUGCCGCUGCUGCUGCUGCUGCUGCUGAGCUUGGGCAGCUGCUCACUGGCUUUGCAGCGCCCCAGAGCUGCCGUGUCCCGAGUCCACUCCUCCUGGAAUCUGUAGAAGCCUUGGUUGUCGUACGCCACGUUAGCCAUGUCGUCAAAUACAGAUUUAUUCCUGAGUUUCUUGUUGUUGUUGUUAUUUCUUCCCUUAUAACCAAAGUAAGCAGCAUGCAUGUUCUCCAGCUCUUCAGUUCUGAGCUGAUACCACAGCUGCAUGU
This 999-nucleotide long non-coding RNA is filed under the name Gallus gallus (chicken). Its description in RNAcentral is "long non-coding RNA NONGGAT002148". The record is from RNAcentral. Lineage: Eukaryota; Metazoa; Chordata; Aves; Galliformes; Phasianidae.